GUGCCAGCCGCCGCGGUAAUACGGGGGGGGCAAGCGUUGUUCGGAAUUACUGGGCGUAAAGGGCUCGUAGGCGGCCAACUAAGUCAGACGUGAAAUCCCUCGGCUUAACCGGGGAACGGCCUCUGAUACUGGCUGGCUGGAGUUCGGGAGAGGGAUGCGGAAUUCCAGGUGUAGCGGUGAAAUGCGUAGAUAUCUGGAGGAACACCGGUGGCGAAGGCGGCAUCCUGGACCGACACUGACGCUGAGGAGCGAAAGCCAGGGGAGCAAACGGGAUUAGAAACCCGAGUAGUCC
Molecule: ribosomal RNA, 292 nt
Filed under: uncultured bacterium
Lineage: Bacteria
Description: partial 16S ribosomal RNA
Rfam family: Bacterial small subunit ribosomal RNA
Source: RNAcentral